UUCCCUGAGUAGCGGCGAGCGAAACGGGAAAAGCCCAAACCAACAAGCUUGCUUGUUGGGGUUGUAGGACUCCAAUAUGGUCGUUCUUUCAGAUAGUCGAAUGACUUGGAAAAGUCAGUCAAAGAGGGUAAAAACCCCGUAGACGAAAUGUGGAAGACACCUAGGAGGAUCCUGAGUACGGCGGAACACGAGAAAUUCCGUCGGAAUCCGGGAGGACCAUCUCCCAAGGCUAAAUACUCCCUAGUGACCGAUAGUGAACCAGUACCGUGAGGGAAAGGUGAAAAGCACCCCGGAAGGGGAGUGAAAUAGAACCUGAAACCGUGUGCCUACAACAAGUCAAAGCCCGUUAAUGGGUGAUGGCGUGCCUUUUGUAGAAUGAACCGGCGAGUUACGAUUGCAUGCGAGGUUAAGUUGAAGAGACGGAGCCGCAGCGAAAGCGAGUCUGAAUAGGGCGUUUGAGUAUGUAGUCGUAGACCCGAAACCAUGUGAUCUACCCAUGUCCAGGUUGAAGGUGCGGUAAAACGCACUGGAGGACCGAACCCACGUACGUUGAAAAGUGCGGGGAUGAGGUGUGGGUAGCGGAGAAAUUCCAAACGAACUUGGAGAUAGCUGGUUCUCUCCGAAAUAGCUUUAGGGCUAGCCUCGGAAUUGAGAAUGAUGGAGGUAGAGCACUGUUUGGACUAGGGGCCCAUCUCGGGUUACCGAAUUCAGAUAAACUCCGAAUGCCAUUCAUUCAUAUCCGGGAGUCAGACUGUGAGUGAUAAGAUCCAUAGUCGAAAGGGAAACAGCCCAGACCACCAGCUAAGGUCCCAAAAUAUAUGUUAAGUGGAAAAGGAUGUGGGGUUGCACAGACAACUAGGAUGUUGGCUUAGAAGCAGCCACCAUUUAAAGAGUGCGUAAUAGCUCACUAGUCGAGUGACCCUGCGCCGAAAAUGUACCGGGGCUAAACAUAUUACCGAAGCUGUGGAGUACACCUUUAGGUGUAUUGGUAGGAGAGCGUUCUAAGGGCGUCGAAGGCAGAUCGUGAGGACUGCUGGAGCGCUUAGAAGUGAGAAUGCCGGUAUGAGUAGCGAAAGACAGGUGAGAAUCCUGUCCACCGAAUGACUAAGGUUUCCUGGGGAAGGCUCGUCCGCCCAGGGUUAGUCGGGACCUAAGCCGAGGCCGAUAGGCGUAGGCGAUGGAUAACAGGUUGAUAUUCCUGUACCCGUUGUUUUUGUUUGAGCAAUGGAGGGACGCAGGAGGCUAAGGAAUGCAGACGAUUGGAAAUGUCUGUCCAAGCAGUAAGUCUGAAGAGGAGUCAAAUGCUUCUUUUCUUAAGGACAA
RNAcentral lists this ribosomal RNA (1323 nucleotides) under Enterococcus faecium. Its description in RNAcentral is "partial 23S ribosomal RNA". It matches the Rfam family "Bacterial large subunit ribosomal RNA", at positions 235 to 1559 of the family's 2925-position model. The record is from RNAcentral. Lineage: Bacteria; Bacillati; Bacillota; Bacilli; Lactobacillales; Enterococcaceae.